CAAUUCAGCCAUUUUCCUUUCUGUUUUCUUUUUUUUUUCCCCUUUAAUUCCUUUGGUGGGGUACUUUGCUGACAGCUGCCUUAAGCUGUUCAUUCAGUGAACAGGCUCUCAGUGUUUUAUGGGCUUUGUCUUCUGCUGUGGUUAACUUUCCUUCAUGGCAUGACAGGUAGGGCUUUUUAAACACGUAUUCUUCAAUUCAGUCAAGCUGAUGGCUCGAGCGACUGGUCACACAAUCAAUUAAAAGCCAAGAGCACCAAGUGUGCAAAGCUCAGACUCAACAGACCCUUCUUUUGGUGUCAAAUCUGACUGCUGUAAAUCCUUCAACCCCGAUCAGCGCUGCUGCUGAAGACUCCUUCGAACAUCGCAAUGGUUGAAAAGCGAGCGGUAAAUGCGUACCUCCAGCGCAUGCGUAUGCACACAGCAACCCCCACUCCCCCACCCCCCAAAAAGAAUCAAAACUCAAGAAAGCCUUACAUUUGCUGGCGGUGGAAUACCUAGAACUAUUAUUUUUUAAUUGUAUGACUUUUGGAUAGUGUUGAAGGUGAAGGAUGUGUUCUUUUCAGGCCCGGUGUGGUCAGCCAGAAGAAUGAUCAACCUUUUGUACUAUAAUGAACUAAAGGGGACUCGGAAAUGCAACAUGAUGGUAGACAUGGGUGUAAUCACAGAGCUGCCCUGUAGUGUAGUUUGCCGAAGCUGAUUCGAUCGAAUGUCAGUCUGCGUGAUUUAAAUCUUCCAGUGCUAUGUGGUCAAAAUUAAUCUAGUCCUUGAAAGCUGAUGCUAUUCACCUAGAGGAAGAUGCUCCAGUGCUAUAGGGAUGCCCAGGUCAUGGAUAUAUGCUGUUGAAGUUUUGAGGCUCUGGGGGAGGGAGGAAAUCUCCUUCCUUCAGUGGGUCUGCCCAUCUGGCAGCUUCUGCCUCCACAGAAGUGCCAACAUGGCAAGGUAAAAACAGUAAAAAACAGUAUUACAAAACCACUUCGUAUACCAACAUUGAACUCUUCAAACAGUGCUUUUGUAAGCAAAGAAGAAAAUAAAAGCUCCUAGGUUUAGUUUUAAGCUUUAAUAAGUAAUAAUUUUCUGUAUCUUUAAGUCAAAGUAACCCUAACUUGUAUGACUGCAGUGUUUUUAUUUUUUAUCUUAUGCACAUGUUAUGUUGGAGAAAAUGUUUACAAAAAUGGUUUUGUUACACUAAUGUGCAUCACAUAUUUAUGGUUUAUUUGAAAGUGAUUUUUGUGGGUUUUUUAGUUUUUCAUAGUAGUAAUAGUACACUUUUUGUGAUUUAUAACCCCAAACUCUGCUGAUUAUAAAAAUGCUAAACAAUAAUACAAAAUGACAAACUGCAUUAAAAUUACUAAUUGUAGAGCUGCAAAGCAGACUGGUGACAAGUAAAACACUCAGCCUUUUUUUUGCAGUGCUAUCUAACUUGUCUUCUGUGUAUUAUGGAAAUUACUGUUUUUCCCCCGUUUUUCCUUAAAUAAAGUCAAAUUGACACCU
Molecule: long non-coding RNA, 1491 nt
Filed under: Taeniopygia guttata (zebra finch)
Lineage: Eukaryota; Metazoa; Chordata; Aves; Passeriformes; Estrildidae
Description: lncRNA (ENSTGUG00000020979.1)
Source: RNAcentral